AGUCUAAGAGCUCUGUGGGCUCACGGACCUUCCGCUCUAGUGCGCGAGCUUGCGACCACCCCUUCCCUCAAGGCGCUGUUAUUUCCACGUCUCGAGAUCCUUCCUACCUUCUCGGACCUGCGCUUGGAGCCCGUGACAUCCGUGUCCGAGGUUGAGAGGAAAAGAAAACGACGGAGAGCGGAGGUACUCUGCCAGGUACAGUUUUUCCUUCCCAAGACUGCAUAUCUCAGGACUCUGUACCUCCCAGAAAUAGAAAGAAAAAAUGACCAUGUUCAAGGUAAGUAGGUCUUGCCUUUCUUGCUCAAGAAAGUGAAAAGAC
This 319-nucleotide long non-coding RNA is filed under the name Dasypus novemcinctus (nine-banded armadillo). RNAcentral describes it as "lncRNA (ENSDNOG00000051254.1)". The record is from RNAcentral. Lineage: Eukaryota; Metazoa; Chordata; Mammalia; Cingulata; Dasypodidae.